UACAGAGGGGGCAAGCGUUGUUCGGAAUUACUGGGCGUAACGGGCGCGUAGGCGGCCAUCUAAGUCAGACGUGAAAUCCCCCGGCUUAACCUGGGAACUGCGUCUGAUACUGGACGGCUUGAGUAUGGGAGAGGGAUGUAGAAUUCCAGGUGUAGCGGUGAAAUGCGUAGAGAUGUGGAGGAACACCGAUGGCGAAGGCAGCCCCCUGGGUCAACACUGACGCUCAUGCACGAAAGCGUGGGGAGCAAACAGG
Molecule: ribosomal RNA, 253 nt
Filed under: uncultured bacterium
Lineage: Bacteria
Description: partial 16S ribosomal RNA
Rfam family: Bacterial small subunit ribosomal RNA
Source: RNAcentral